This 426-nucleotide ribosomal RNA is filed under the name Triticum aestivum (bread wheat). RNAcentral describes it as "partial small subunit ribosomal RNA". The record is from RNAcentral. Lineage: Eukaryota; Viridiplantae; Streptophyta; Magnoliopsida; Poales; Poaceae.
CGGAUGAUGGAGAUUGCUACCAAGUACGCCAACGGCGAAGAAGAAGACCGACUCCGAAGCGGCAAACAUAAGCCGAGUCAGUCGGAAAAAGGAAACACCAGUCGGAAACAGAAGCGGAAGGCUGAACCAGCAGCUCCUGGGGAGGCUCUGGCCGUGACUCAAGGAAAGUCUAAGGGGAAACCAAAAGGAUCCUGGAACCCCAAGAAGGUGAAGGAUAAAGAAGGGAACGACGUGAUGGAUAUGCCGUGCCACAUCCACACGAAGAAAGAUGAAGAGGGGAAUAUCAUUUACCCAAAGCACACCACUCGCCAAUGUCGACUCCUGAUCCAGCAGUUUCAGGGAAAACAGUCUAAGGACAAGGAGAAGGAGCCAGACAAGGCCGAAGACAAAGAGGACAGUGAGGGAGGAUACCCGCAUAUCAACUCC